RNAcentral lists this ribosomal RNA (425 nucleotides) under uncultured bacterium. RNAcentral's name for it is "partial 16S ribosomal RNA". It matches the Rfam family "Bacterial small subunit ribosomal RNA", at positions 354 to 796 of the family's 1533-position model. The record is from RNAcentral.
GUGGGGAAUCUUGCGCAAUGGGCGAAAGCCUGACGCAGCAACGCCGCGUGCGGGAUGAAGGCCUUCGGGUUGUAAACCGCUUUCAGCAGGGACGAAAAUGACGGUACCUGCAGAAGAAGCUCCGGCUAACUACGUGCCAGCAGCCGCGGUAAUACGUAGGGAGCAAGUGUUGUCCGGAUUUAUUGGGCGUAAAGAGCUCGUAGGCGGUUUCGUAAGUCGAGUGUGAAAAAUCUGGGCUUAACCCAGUGGAGCACUCGAUACUGCGAUGACUUGAGUCUGGUAGAGGAGUGUGGAAUUCCUGGUGUAGCGGUGAAAUGCGCAGAUAUCAGGAGGAACACCAACGGCGAAGGCAGCACUCUGGGCCAGUACUGACGCUGAGGAGCGAAAGCGUGGGGAGCAAACAGGAUUAGAUACCCCAGUAGUCC